RNAcentral lists this ribosomal RNA (253 nucleotides) under uncultured bacterium. RNAcentral describes it as "partial 16S ribosomal RNA". It matches the Rfam family "Bacterial small subunit ribosomal RNA", at positions 524 to 776 of the family's 1533-position model. The record is from RNAcentral.
UACGAGAGGCCCAAACGUUAUUCGGAAUUACUGGGCUUAAAGAGUUCGUAGGCGGCCAUGUAAGUGAGGUGUGAAAUCCCUCGGCUCAACCGAGGAACUGCGCUUCAUACUGCAUGGCUUGAGGGAGACAGGGGUAAGCGGAACUGAUGGUGGAGCGGUGAAAUGCGUUGAUAUCAUCAGGAACACCGGUGGCGAAAGCGGCUUACUGGGUCUCUUCUGACGCUGAGGUACGAAAGCUAGGGUAGCGAACGGG